Molecule: non-coding RNA, 1639 nt
Organism: Callithrix jacchus (white-tufted-ear marmoset)
Lineage: Eukaryota; Metazoa; Chordata; Mammalia; Primates; Cebidae
Source: RefSeq, a predicted model, not a curated record
GCAUUCGCGUAUUCUUUCUCCGGAGCUCACGGGUUCCUGUCCAUGCGCGAUGCGAACCGGGAAUGGGGCCCGGAGCCCGCAGUAACCCGCGUAUCACGCCCGCCUGGGGCCCCCAGUGCUGCCGUCGCGGUCGGAGCGGAGGGGCCUCGGGUAUGCGUCUCCCAGUAUGGGCAGGCGUACAGGACAAUCCCCACUGGGGCCAGGAGACCCACCCGUAAACCAGAAGACUGAAGCUGCACUGCGGAUGCUGCUGAGAGGCCCUGGGAAUGCCUCACCUGUGGGUAUAUGGGCUGCUGCCCUGCAAUGUAGGGCUGCUGGGGUGGCAGGGAUGUGUCCUGGCUCGGGAGGGUGGUCAUGAGAUUCUGUUGUGAGAAAAAGCCAGAUGUCAAAGAGUAGCCCUGUGACCACACAGCCAGGGGGUGUUUCUGGCUUGCAACAAUCCAAAGGGGACAAGAAGAGCCCAGAGAGUUGAGGGGAGGACAGAAGGGGGGGGGGCCCACCAAGUGCCCGCUAGCCUCACCAAGACCCUCAGUGUCAACUCUGCUCCCCCACCCCAGCCCCUAGCAGAGCCUGGAGGUCACCGUACCUGCAUGUUGUAAGGCUGGUAGCCCAUGGAGACUGACUGGCUCCCCAUGUAGCCCAUAGUGCUGGACUGCGGAGGCUGAGAGAUGGCCGGGAGGCUCUGCGGGGCCUGGGAGGCCACGUUCUGUGGGUGGAAUGGGUGCCAUGGGAGAAGGGGCUGGGCUGGCCGUGGAGGUGGGGAGUGGCUUUGCCUGCAUACCUGGUAGCCCACUGUAGGAGUGGGCUGAUAGGAUGAGUAGGCAGGGCUGGCGGUAGGCCCAGCUUGGGCCUGGGGGGCCGCCUGCGCCCCAGUGGCCCCUGCUGGGUACAUGUAGGCGCUCACCAUGCUGGGAUCUGUGACAAACAAGACAGGUGAGAUGGUUCAGCCAGGGCAAUGUGGAAGGGAGGAAGGGACACCCUUCUCUUCAGUUUUCCUUUUUUGUUUUUUGAGACCAAAUCUCACUGUGUUGUGGAGACUGGAGUGCAGUGGUGCCAUUGGUCAAGGCGGGCGGAUCAUGAAGUCAGGAGUUCAAGACCAGCCUGUCCAACACAGUGAAACCCCGUCUUUACUAAAGAUACAAAAAUUAGUUGGGCAUGGUGGCACAUGCCUGUAAUCACAGCUAAUCGAGAGGCAAAGAGGUUGCAGUGAGCCAAGAUCACACUACUACACUCCAGCCUGGGCGACAGAGUGAGACUCCCAUCUCAAAAAAAAAAAAAAAAAAAAAAAGAAGAUAAACCAGCAAGGAUGGAGGAGAAUCCCAGAAUGGAAUGAAAUCAGAAGAAAGGAACCAAACUGUAUUUUAAAUGAGUGACAUGGUCUGACCGAUGGGAUGGGAGAGUGAAUCCCAAUAACUUCAGAACCCAGAAUCUGGACUCCACAGCCUCAGGCUGCAGAUGACAGGAAAUACAGACAAAUAUUACACUCGGGUUAGGAGGCAUCAUCUCCACAAUGGGCCAGGACAGCAUUCCUGAAACUACUUUUCAUGUAUUCUAGGGCUGAGCAAGUAAGUAUAUUGAAGACAAUGCCAAACAAAACUAUGCUAUUUAAUUAAAACUGCAAGUACUAGAAUGAAUUCAA